GGCUAAGCAGUGCUCACUAUACCACAGGGCUGUGCAGACCUUUGAGGCCAACCGCACUCAACGUCAAGAAGAACAACGUGGUCAUAAGCAUUUGGA
This is a long non-coding RNA of Thalassophryne amazonica, 96 nucleotides long. RefSeq lists it as uncharacterized. The record is from RefSeq and is a predicted model, not a curated record. The transcript is spliced from 3 exons. Lineage: Eukaryota; Metazoa; Chordata; Actinopteri; Batrachoidiformes; Batrachoididae.